RNAcentral lists this ribosomal RNA (1540 nucleotides) under Pseudocitrobacter faecalis. RNAcentral describes it as "bacterial SSU rRNA". It matches the Rfam family "Bacterial small subunit ribosomal RNA". The record is from RNAcentral. Lineage: Bacteria; Pseudomonadati; Pseudomonadota; Gammaproteobacteria; Enterobacterales; Enterobacteriaceae.
AAAUUGAAGAGUUUGAUCAUGGCUCAGAUUGAACGCUGGCGGCAGGCCUAACACAUGCAAGUCGAACGGUAACAGGAAGCAGCUUGCUGCUUUGCUGACGAGUGGCGGACGGGUGAGUAAUGUCUGGGAAACUGCCUGAUGGAGGGGAUAACUACUGGAAACGGUAGCUAAUACCGCAUAACGUCGCAAGACCAAAGAGGGGGACCUUCGGGCCUCUUGCCAUCGGAUGUGCCCAGAUGGGAUUAGCUAGUAGGUGGGGUAAUGGCUCACCUAGGCGACGAUCCCUAGCUGGUCUGAGAGGAUGACCAGCCACACUGGAACUGAGACACGGUCCAGACUCCUACGGGAGGCAGCAGUGGGGAAUAUUGCACAAUGGGCGCAAGCCUGAUGCAGCCAUGCCGCGUGUAUGAAGAAGGCCUUCGGGUUGUAAAGUACUUUCAGCGAGGAGGAAGGUGUUGUGGUUAAUAACCGCAGCAAUUGACGUUACUCGCAGAAGAAGCACCGGCUAACUCCGUGCCAGCAGCCGCGGUAAUACGGAGGGUGCAAGCGUUAAUCGGAAUUACUGGGCGUAAAGCGCACGCAGGCGGUUUGUUAAGUCAGAUGUGAAAUCCCCGGGCUCAACCUGGGAACUGCAUUUGAAACUGGCAAGCUUGAGUCUCGUAGAGGGGGUAGAAUUCCAGGUGUAGCGGUGAAAUGCGUAGAGAUCUGGAGGAAUACCGGUGGCGAAGGCGGCCCCCUGGACGAAGACUGACGCUCAGGUGCGAAAGCGUGGGGAGCAAACAGGAUUAGAUACCCUGGUAGUCCACGCUGUAAACGAUGUCGACUUGGAGGUUGUGCCCUUGAGGCGUGGCUUCCGGAGCUAACGCGUUAAGUCGACCGCCUGGGGAGUACGGCCGCAAGGUUAAAACUCAAAUGAAUUGACGGGGGCCCGCACAAGCGGUGGAGCAUGUGGUUUAAUUCGAUGCAACGCGAAGAACCUUACCUGGUCUUGACAUCCACAGAACUUAGCAGAGAUGCUUUGGUGCCUUCGGGAACUGUGAGACAGGUGCUGCAUGGCUGUCGUCAGCUCGUGUUGUGAAAUGUUGGGUUAAGUCCCGCAACGAGCGCAACCCUUAUCCUUUGUUGCCAGCGAUUCGGUCGGGAACUCAAAGGAGACUGCCAGUGAUAAACUGGAGGAAGGUGGGGAUGACGUCAAGUCAUCAUGGCCCUUACGACCAGGGCUACACACGUGCUACAAUGGCAUAUACAAAGAGAAGCGACCUCGCGAGAGCAAGCGGACCUCAUAAAGUAUGUCGUAGUCCGGAUUGGAGUCUGCAACUCGACUCCAUGAAGUCGGAAUCGCUAGUAAUCGUAGAUCAGAAUGCUACGGUGAAUACGUUCCCGGGCCUUGUACACACCGCCCGUCACACCAUGGGAGUGGGUUGCAAAAGAAGUAGGUAGCUUAACCUUCGGGAGGGCGCUUACCACUUUGUGAUUCAUGACUGGGGUGAAGUCGUAACAAGGUAACCGUAGGGGAACCUGCGGUUGGAUCACCUCCUUA